Non-coding RNA from Dissulfuribacter thermophilus, 183 nucleotides. It matches the Rfam family "6S / SsrS RNA". Rfam says of the family: E. coli 6S RNA was the first non coding RNA to be sequenced, but its function was unknown until recently. Lineage: Bacteria; Pseudomonadati; Thermodesulfobacteriota; Dissulfuribacteria; Dissulfuribacterales; Dissulfuribacteraceae. The record is from Rfam.
CUUCCCCUGCUGUGACCGUGAUCAAACAGGAAGUUCGUUGAGCCAACACCCCGUACAAGGGGGUCUCCGCUUCGCGAGCCGAUGACGGGGAAAACAUCCCUGUCUGACGCCUUGCGGAUGAGACGCCCACCUGACUAGGUCAGGUUCAAUGAACCCUGUAGACACGGCACAAGCGGGGGUAUU